This is an RNA transcript of Corvus hawaiiensis (hawaiian crow), 13663 nucleotides long. It is a transcript of the gene named zinc finger protein 704, with no coding region annotated. Lineage: Eukaryota; Metazoa; Chordata; Aves; Passeriformes; Corvidae. The record is from RefSeq and is a predicted model, not a curated record. The transcript has 11 exons.
CCGGGCCGACCGGGCGGAGGCACCAUGCAGGCGCGGCGCUUGGCCAAGCGCUCCAGCAUGGGCAGCCGGCGGUUGAGCGCGGCGGCGGCGCAGGUGGACGCGGUCCGGCCCCCCAAGCCCGAGAGCGCCUGGAGGCCGCCCCGGCGGGAGGGCUCCGCCGCGGCGCUGGAGGAAGAGGACGAAGACGAGGACGUGGUGGUUGAGGUGGAGGAGGAAGAGGAGGAGGAGGAGGGCGGCCCGGGGAGCGCCCCCCCGGCGCUAGCCGGCCACGGCAAGGGCCCCCUCCGGGGGAGCCUCAAGGCAGCCAACAUCAAGCGUGAAAUGACCUUCCCUGCAUUUCAACAGGAGGAUGUGAAAAGUGACAUCAGUCGAAAACUGCCAGACCAACAGUUUCUCCUGUUCACCACAAAGGAGGAAGAUUUAAAAACAGCAGAGACCAAAAAACUAAACAGAGCUCCUGAGUAUGAAAAGGAAAACACUCGUUCUGUUUGUCUUCUGGAACAGAAGCGCAAGGUUGUUUCUUCAAAUAUUGAUGUGCCUCCAGCAAGGAAAUCUCCAGAAGAACUGGACAUGGAUAAAGUAACAGCAGCCAUGGUACUCACCAGUUUAUCCACCAGCCCUUUGGUCCGCAGCCCUCCUGUCCGACCCAAUGAAUCCCUGAAUGGAUCUUGGAAAGAAGGAGGAUUUGUGCCUUCUAGUACCAGCAGCAGUGGAUACUGGAGCUGGAAUGCUCCCAGUGACCAGUCCAACCCAUCCACCCCAUCUCCACCUCUGUCAGCUGAUAGCUUCAAAGCUUUUCGGACACCUUCCCAGCCAGAUGAUGGUAUUGAUGAAGGUGAAACAAGCAACCUUCUCUUUGAUGAACCCAUUCCUAGGAAGAGAAAGAACUCCAUGAAGGUGAUGUUCAAAUGCCUGUGGAAGAACUGUGGGAAGGUACUGAGCACAGCUGCAGGGAUUCAGAAACACAUACGGACCAUUCACCUUGGACGUGUAGGAGAGUCUGACUACAGUGAUGGAGAGGAGGAUUUUUACUAUACAGAAAUCAGGCUCAACACGGACUCAGUAGCUGAUGGCUUAAGCAGUCUUUCUCCAGUCUCUCCAUCUUUAGCAUCUCCUCCUUCCUUUCCCACCCAAGACACAAUCCGUCCUGAAACUUCCUGUGCCAAAACCGAGACUAAAUUGAUGACACCUCUGAGCUGCUCAGCUCCUACCAACCUCUACCUCGUACACACAGACCAUGCUUACCAGGCCACUCCUCCGGUGAACAUUCCAGGGUCAGCAAAAUUCACUCCCAAUGGCAGUAGCUUUAGCAUCUCCUGGCAGUCGCCUCCAGUUACCUUCACCGGCAUUCCAGUCUCACCAACCCAUAAUCGUCCUGCAGGGAGUGGAGAGCAGAAACAGUCCCACACAGUUCUUUCAUCACCGCCUAGAGUAGCAUUUGGCUUGAGGAAGCCUAGAGGGGAGGGGAAAAAGUGUCGGAAAGUCUAUGGGAUGGAGAACAGAGAUAUGUGGUGCACUGCCUGCCGAUGGAAGAAAGCCUGCCAAAGGAGAAAAGCAAAGUCUGAUUUUGCAAGAAGGACAAGCAGCAUUCCAGGAAGAUGUUUAAACGAGGCACAGACCAGUGGAGUGGAACAAAGUAAUUUAAGUACCAAAUUGGAUUUUGAUCCUCUGGAGGAAGAAGAGCAGCAAUGGCAAGUCACCAGCAGAUACUGUCAAGAGAAUUUUGAGGGAAGAAAUCGGUGAUGCUUGAUUGAAACUCACAAGAAUACAAGGGGGCUCCAGUAGCUUUUCUUACUAUUCUCCCCUUUCUGAGGGGGGGUGAACAGUUGGACCAGCACAGCUGUUGCUGCAGGAGGUCUGUGAAGAACUCGUAAAUGCAGCCACUAGGAUUAUAUGUAAUACCUAAUUCAGGGACAUGAUCCAGCCCAGCAGUUCUGCUUUUGCUUCCCUUUCUCUUAUUUGAGAGAUUGUUGUUAAGAUAAUGGUUUGUUCAGCUUUUACUUUGAAAGCUACUAAGAUUGAUUUGAAGCAAAAAAUUGGUAGAGAAAAGAAAAUACCCCCUUCCCACAACAUCAUCUCAGAAAAAGAAGUACAACAGCAAAGGAGCAACAUAUUUGUGAUGGGAGCAGCCUUUCUUUGCAUCCAUAUGGAGCUGGAAAAUCUUCAAGAUUGCGAAACAGCCGAUGUACACCUAUACUUGAGAGUGCCCACUUGAACUGCUCGUUCCAUCUUGAACUACAGUGCUUUCCCUCUGACCGUGCUCUCAGUUCUAUCCAAAUGCAGGAAUUAAGGAGGUGUGUGUCUUCACUUGCAACUUUCUGAGUUUAUUCCUCAAUAUAGAAAACACUCAUCAUGUUCUUUGUGCUUCACGCAGGCCACUUGUAACAGCAAUGCAGAAAGACCCUGCGAACAGAAGUCAGCCUGUUUCUGAUGGCACCAGGCAGAAGAAAGUACAGGUUGCUCUGGUGCUUGCUCACACUCACAGCAAGAAUUCGUUCAGUUGAUGAAAUAGAAGGGAAUAGAUAAAUUUAUUAACAAGCCAGUGUUCUUGUGGUUUUGGACACAACACCUAUAAUGUUUCUCCUCCUGUGUUUGAAUCUGAAUGUGGGAUCUCUAAUGCACCCUUGAGGGAAAUAAAAUGAGCAAUGUAAAUGCUCUUUCAGCAUUAAAUCUGAAUUCUUUGUGUAAUUAAAAUCUAAAGAUGGACUUGAACAUUCUAAAAUGUUUGAGUGUUGGUAUUUACUGUUUGCCAGUCCUCUUAGGGAUUCAGGUUUGAUUCUGGAGUCCUUAUCGUAGUAUGUGAUACCCAGUAUCGAUUAGUACGUGAUGUGUAAUGGCAAUGGCCAGAUAAACAAAAGUUACUAAAAACUUGUUGUUUGUUAAAAACUGCCUCUGGAAGACAGGAAAAAAGAAAAUAGUUAAUAGAGAUUUCCUCAGGGAAUGUGAGAGGGCUGUAAAGGCAGGAUGCAAGUUUAUUUGAAUGGAAGAUGGCUAAGAAAAUGAUUUUUUUUUUUCUAUUUUAGGCAAAAUUAAAAGAGCAAUAUUUCACUACUUGAAUUCUUAAAAUUAGAAUGAAGCACUAAUCGAUGAACAUGAUCUUAAUGCUGUAGCUUAGGAAGUUCCGAAUAAAAAAAAAUAUAUAAAAAUACAGAAAAUUAGCUUGAACCAUAACCUAAUUUUAAUGUAAAUCUAUACAUUUGUGUAAAUCUUUUCAGGAUCUACUGUAAAUAUAAAGGCUUCUUGUCUAUAAAGUUGCUUGGUCAAAACAUGCUUUGUCUAUAAUUGAAUUACUUCUUACCAAAUGACUACAGCAAGCAAAAAAGCAGUAUGUUAGCAUAAUAUCCUGGAGAGUUGUGUGUUGCACUUUGCAAAGGGCUAAUUCUACAUGAACUUAAAACAUGUCACUGCAUAUUUUUUGUUAUAUCUGCAAAGGUAUCAGCUUCAGUAAACCCAAGGUUUUGAGCCGUGCUAUCUAGGAUUUUGAAAUUUUGCAAGUUUUGCAAAUUCUCAAUUUUGCUUUAUUUUUACCCAGAAAAAUGCUAUUGGAUCCAUAAUAAUUUUUUCCUAUCAACCCUUUUUCCUGUGUCCAGGCACUCUGUUUUGCAGCUUCCCAAAUGUGUAUACUGAAGUGAAUAAAAAUCAGCAUCUUCAGUAUUAGGACCUACAAAUGUAAAUAGCAUUUACAUCGUAUCAGAAUUUUUAGUAUCAGUGUUUAACUGUGGUAAUUAAUUCUUAAAAUGAUGCCAACAAAUCUUGCAGGGAGGAGGAGCACAUAGUCUAUAAAUUAGGAAGUAUGACUGCACAGAUGAAGAACUGCUGGUAUUACAAGAAUAAAAUGUAGGCUUCGGUUCAUCAGAGCACUCGAGUAUGUGUUUACCUCCACUUGUGGAGUUUCUUGAUGAGACUCCUUGUGUUUCUGAAGUUUGGCACACAGUUUUGAGCUCCUCUGAAAUCAGGCCUUGGCAAGAGCAGAUACUCCUAUAGCUUUGUCUGAAAUACACACUUUGUGAGACAAUCUACCUUUUCCUGGGUUUAUGCAAUUUAUCUUGUGUUUAGAAGACCAGACAAAUUUAGAGAAUUCUUUUUUUAUUACAAUUUUUUGCAUUGCAAAAGGGAAGGUAAGAAAGAGACAAGCUCAGCUGUACGUUUCAUCAUGUGAAAGCAUUGGUUAAGUUUGUAAAAGAUGUGUAUUUGACAUCAAGCUCAAAGAAGCUUACUUGAUUACAUUGAAAAAAAGAUGCAUGAUAAGCAGAUUAUAUUAAACAAAUUUCUCUUGUUCCAUCUGUAUUCCCUGUACACUCAACACUCCUCCAGGCAACUGGAGGCAUAGGAGCUCUGAGUAUGCAAGGAAAUAAGUGAGUUUACUUAAAAACUUUAGGAAUACUAUGUUUUUAAGCCACAAAUGAUGUUGCCUAUGUGUAGUUUUUUAGUAUUAGAAGAAAAUAGACAGUAGCCUUAUUAACCAGGUGCAAUACUUACAAAGGGCUAAAUUAGGGAAACAAGUGAUGUGUGUCUGUACAUCACUGCAAAUGUGCACUCUCUGAAAACUGACUUUUAUGGCACUGCGAUCUUAAUACCUCUCUGAAAUGAUAAUGUUGGUAUAAUUUUAUGACUGUUUAUAAUACAUUAUGAAACAGGAUUUGGGAAUUCCUGAGAACCAAAAGGAGGAGGGGGAAAUUGUAAAUCACAUAGACUAAUGGUAUGUUAUUUUACAUGACAAAAGUAAACUAAAACACCUUUACAAAGCCAUACAAAUUCUGGAUUAUUGAAAGAAAAAAAUCUACUCCCCUUGGUUACAGAGAUAGUUUAGUCUGAAAUUUCCUUUGAUUUGUUUCUUGCAUUUUCUCAAAGGUUUGGGUUUGGUUUGGGGUUUUUUUUGUAUUCUGAUGGUGAAAACAUUCCUAAAUUACCAGUAUUUGGCUUAAAUGGUAUUAUUUUGAAAAAAAUACUUUUAAAAUUGAGUUCUUCAUGAUACUGUACAGUUUGAAUGAGAUCAUGCAACAUGAUCUGCUCCAGCUUAAGUAGAGAGUUCAUACAAGCAGAAGAUUGUAGGAAAAGAUUGCACUGAGGAUUCAUUGUUCAGUCACGAGAAAGAUCUGAAUGAUCAGACUAAAAGCUCCACUCACGUAUUUCUUCUCUCUAUCUGCACUGCAGGGUUGAUGGUAAUACAGGCUGCCAAGUACAGUGUAUCUGGCUAUCUCACCCCUGUUUGGGGUUUUUUUUUGCUGAUAAAUAAUGAAAUACACAUAAUCUUCCCGUCUAUCUCUCUUCCUGUUUUUGUCUUGUGCUCUGAGUCCAGAAUUAGCUGAAAGACAGAAAUAAUCAGGUCUGUUGAGCAGAGGUUGUUUGGUUCUUUCCCUGUUUGACUGACUUCUAACAAAGGGCCAAAGUACAAACGCAGAGACGUUAGUCAAAAGAGGCUUCUUCCAGUCAGGCAAGACCUGAGGAAAAUUGCUCAGAUUUGGAUCCCAGUAUGAGGAAAGUAGUCUUAAGCAGUCAGUUACAGAAGUUCUGUGGUUGAUUUUUGGUGUUUGGGGCUUUUUUGGUAAAUUACAAGUCUGAUAAAAAGUCUUACUGCACAAUUAAGAGCAGAAUGCAGAUCUCAUUGUAAUGAGCUGAGCCCUUGAAGCAGUACAGGUUUUCUCAGGAGAGUUCCAAUUAUUCCCGUGAAUGAUUUCAUUGACAUGGGCUGCUGACACAGGUAAUGGUUGUAGAACAAAGGCACAUGGGUUUUCCUCUGUGAGCUUUCUGCUGGAAUUGGGAGUGUGAAAUUGGGAAUCUCCCUUUCUGAGGGCUUGAGAAUUGUGCAUUUGGCUUUGUGAGAGGGAUGGAUACAGUGCCGGGCUCUUGAAAGAGUUUCUAGCAAUACCAGAGGGGCAGUACUCUGGAUGUGUUACUUAGUGACAAAUUUAGGAGCUGUUAGGCAGGUGGUAUUCAGCCUGUAAUUGUCCUAUUGAUACCAGCCCCAGGGAGAAGGGGGUUUCUCAGUAUGGGAUCCAGGCAGCCAGCCUGUGUGAAGUGAGUCACCGCCAUAAUCUGUGUGAUGUUGGCUCAAGUGCUGCCUUGCUGUGUCCAGCUUGAGGGAGGUUGGUUAUCUGCAUGCAUUCGUGACAUGUUCAUAGUACAGAACACUCUUUCGAAGAGAGAGAAUCUCUUUUUCAGUGAUUAAAAUAAAACUAUGGUAUAACUUUUAUGUUGCAGAAGGUCACUGAGUAAGCCACAGCACUGUCAGACUUUGAAUCAGACAUAGUUGUUUCCCUCCUUCCAGAGCCAUGCUGCAUCUCCUGUGGGGGCUCUCACCGAGCCCUGUAACCUUAACCAAGUUUUUCCCAAAGAUUUUCUGGAACGCAGCACUGAGCCCUAAACCAAGUUUGACCCCCAGGUAAAGGAAGCUCUUUCCAACUCUUUCCCAACUCUUAGACUUCCUAAAUUAGUGUUUUAUUAGUAGACCUUUAUAAAGGGGACAUUGCCCCAUGACUUUCCUUUGGCAUUUCUAACACGGCACCAUCCAGUGCUGCGUUUGCAAGGAGCCAGACAUUAUCUUGGUCAGUCAUGGGGUUUGGCAUUUUUUACAUUUAGACCACUGCAUUUUGCCUCACACUGUAGUUCCACAGCAGGUUAUGGUGACAUAAGCUUGUGCUACUGUUGAAAAAGUUCUUUCUACCCCCAGCAGAGAUAUUUCCAGAGAGAAGUCUCCUGAGUUGUGCUGGCUUGAUCCAGUCCUGUAAGUGUAGGUCUGUAUAAAAUGCUAGAUAGCUUACGGCCUGCUGGGUUUGUGCCUCUGCUCUUUCAUGUGGCAGGCAUGGUAAUACUGUCUUUAUCCCACUCUGUCUUGUCUGGAGUCUCAUUAAGGACCUGAACUUGCACAUACUCCUACAGCAGCAAGCUCAGGAGAGCUCCACUUACGGCUGGAGGCAUUGAUUUUGAUAUGAAAUGAAAUAUAUAAUGGAAAAGAGAGGAGUUAGAUCAAUAAUUGUACGUGCAAUGAGUCUUAAAACUACAUCUUAACUGCACCAUGGUUUUGCUAAGCAGAUAUUGGAGGAAUUAAAGGACAUGAAAAACAACCUUACUGGACCUUGCUCCUCCCUGAACCAGUCUGGAAUUAUUCACAGUAGUCUCAGGACCUGCAAGGUUCAUUAAGGGGCUGGGAAGUCAUGACCUCUGUAGGUCUCUGGGCUACAGGGAACCGGGGUACACUUCUUACCCAGACAUGGUAGCAAACAGGAAAGGUCCUCAGCUGCUUUGCUAGUGCAGUUUUUCGUCCUCUUUUUUAUUACGGCAUCAAUUUAAUAGUGAUGGGAAUGCUGGGCAAAAGGUAAAGGGUCAUCAGGUAACUGAAGAAAGAGGACCAUCAGCAUCAAUUGCACUGUGGGGUUUUUUAACUCUCUGAAAAAACAAGCAUGUUUUCUUGUCCCCUGUUACUCAUAUUAUCUCAUGUAAGAAAAGUAUUUCCAUCAUAGAAAGGGAGUGAAUUUAGCACAGGGUAAGCAGCUGUAGGGAACUAAAAACCCAGUUGCCCAGUUUUUAUGAGUAGGGGAUUUCUAAUACAUUCUGCUUGCAGUAGACUGCAGUAUUUAGAUCUACACAUCCUUUUAUCUUGCUUCAGUCACAAAAGAGCCCACAUACAUUGUUCUUCCUUUGUUUCCUAUCAAAUCUUGUUUCAGAGAGUAUAAAGUAAAUUUCUUUUUUAAAAACCAAUUUUUUCUGAAUUAUUUUUAGAACCAGAACAUUUCCUCUUUGACUUCAGUAUAAAAUUACUGAGCUUUAAGUUGCUCUGCAUUGCACUUUAUAUGUUUUUUUCACUUUCUGGGCCAUGUAUUUUUGAUACACAAAACAGUAAAGGUUUUAUUUAUCUAGUUUUAACUUGAAAUUAACCAUGAAACUAAGAUGCUUUUAUAAAAAUGCAAGUUCCAUAAAAUACAGUAAUUAAUCUCUUUGGGUCAGAGACAUUUUUUAAUGAUACAUGGAGAAAUACUAUAGCUUCUGAAAUUAUUUAUCAUUUUGUAAGUUCAAUACAUUAAUGGAUAUCACGGUUUAAAGUGGAAUGUGAAUAAGGAGGAGGCAAAGUUCUAGACAGUAGAUUUCCUUAUAUGCAAAACCUACAUUAGUUUAAUUGGUAAGGGUUUAAAAAAAUAGCCUUAUCUAGUUUAAAGAAGUGUAAAACUGUUUAACAGGCAAGUUUAAAAUGCCAAGAGCUCAUAGAAGUUUGGAAAUGAGUUUAACAGAAGCAGCCAGGAGCUGUGUUUUUCCCCAUGCUGGCACAGCACUGUGCAGUGGGCAGCCUGCGAAGCCCCUGGGCUCUGCAGGGGCUGAACUCAUGCCAGUACAAGGCACCCGCUGAAGCUGUAGGAGAGUAUGGAUUUUCCUGCUUUAAACAGCACCUCUCCAAACCUGCAGGCCCACUGCCAGGUUGGAAAUAGUAUUUCCAUUUGGUUUUUCCUGACUUUGUCCCCACUAGUUUUGGGAACUAGUGUCCUAAAGACAAUCCUCUUGUUCCUAAGUGAGUGGAUGAACUCGUCUUCCCCCUGGUUUUGGUGUUAAGCUUACAGCACUCACACUAUUGCACGUAGUUUAUCUUAAUUUGUAGAUGCCAGUUCCACCAUUGUAAACAAAGAAUGUCUACUCUGCCCCAGCACAGAAUCCUUUUAAAUUUUGUGGAGUAUGUGGAAAAAUAAAGACCAAUUUGACUUUCACUUUGACCAAACUCUUUAUUCCUCCAUCCUUGCAAAAGCUCCUAGUUGGCCACCUCCCAGGGAGCCCAGUUCCUUUUCAGAGGCUGCCAGACAUUCUGAUCAUUUCUACAUCCAUAGGUAAAAGCUGCUCAAAUAGCCUGGGUAUAGUUUUCACCUUGGACUGCAAAUGUGUCACCUUGCCAUUUGUCCUUCCAGGGACCACCGGGAGUCCCUGGAGCAAGGCAAGUGCACUGCCAGUGUUGUGCAAACCUUGUGCUUCGCAUCAGUGAUAGCUGUGCUGAGGAGAAGCAUGGACUGAUGGCACCUGUCCAUCCUACCAGAGACGUGAGGGCUGCACAGCAUGGCUCAGCUCUUGGAAUUACAGGGAAAAUUAAGCUUAAAACCUUUAUAGUAAGCGCUGGGUGUCUCUGAAAACUCAGUCCAUGUUCAGCUGAGGAACAAGAGCAGUGGCAGGCCCUCUCCAAGGUCGUGCUCUGUCAGCACAAGAAACAGCUCCGUGGCCCAAGUGGUUGCUGUAUUUCCAUGUAUGUUUGAAGGAAGGCUUAGGAAGGAGGACUUGUAGAUGCUAUUCCUUUGCAGUCUGGUUUGAUUCUGCCCUCUGGGGGCAGCCUGUGGGCCGGCGCAGCACAUUUAAAUCAGGGGCUUCCACUGACAGUGACUUGGACAUAGCAAAAAAACUGUUUCUUAUAAGAAGCAGAUGAUUUUAUCUUUCUUACAACAUCAAAACCACAAAAUGCCACCGUGCACACCUUUGUCAAACUCUCACAGUCCCCUGUAGCACCAGCAGCUGGGGAGAACUCGAGAAUUCAGAGGACCUUGGCCAUAACUCUUCAAAAAGCCUCUGCAGUCCACUGAAAAUAAUUUAGUGCUGGAUCAAAGCCACACAGACUUGGGCCCUCCAAAACUCUGAGAAUUUUGCUGUUAUUUCGCAUUAAAAAAAGUGUUAAAAUCUUUGUGUCAGCAUAUGAGUCAAUUCUGCCUGCUGAACCAAGAGUACUUCCAAUGGACUUCAGAUAUCUAGGGAAUCAUUCUCAGUACAAGUCAGGACACUCCAAACAUUUCAGUUGUUUUUCUUAAAUUAACAUUUGCAAAAUUAGCAGUGUGCAUAGUAAUGCCUAAAAGUCGAUGAAAAUAAUUGAAUGACUACUGAAUUCCUGAUUUGCUAAGCACAAGCUUCUGAGUUUUAUUAACACACAAAACCAGCUUUGUACAGAGUAAUUUUUAAAAAUAGAGAAGGUUUGUUUUUUUCUCAAGUUACUCAAGCAGUUCAGGUAAUAAAUAAUUUGUUUCUGGUCAAUGCAUUUUACAGUGAGCAAAUCUCAUCUUCUUGCACUUCUAAUAUUCAUUGCUUGUAUGGAAAAAAAAUCUUCACUACUUUUCCAUUUCCCAGUGAAUGAUUGGUUCACUAAGCAACAGGCCAUUGCUGUUGCAAUUCUUGACUUCAGAUUGCAGAAUAUGCUUAGGUAACUUUAGUCUUGUUCAUAUGAGUCCUGGUUAUCUGAUUAUUACUCUUUUUCAAGCUUCAAAAAUGCUUUUGUGUAGUUUCCAUAGAUACGGUUGAGUAAAAGUUGCAAGGAAGAAUCUAAGUCAAAUGCUAAGUAAAAAUCAAGUAUGUGAAACAAACAUGAAGAUAAAGUAUAAUGAGCAAAGUCAAUCCAUUGCUGAAUUAAAUGUUUAUAGAACAUGUUGAUUAGCAGAAAGUAGUGAUCUUUGUUGAAGUUACAUUUAGCAGCAGACCACUGUGUUUUAGUGUCACAAGUGACAAAGCAAUUUUUCCUCAGAAAAAGUGCAAAUGGAAAACAACAUUAAAAUAGAUCGUUUAGACCAAGAUUUUUUCAAUUUAAGCCCAUCCUGCCUGGUACAUUACUGUUGUAUGUUCAGGGAUGCUCAGGACAACAGACAUUCCUCAUAGGAAGCAGCUAGGUUCCAAAGUGUCAACUAAAUGAAAGGAAAGUGAGCAAACUCAUAGGAUUUUCUCAGUACUAGCUCAGCUAUUGCAAAAAAAGACCAAAAAACCCAAAACAGCAAAAAAGCACUACUCACUACUACUGAACUAGAAUUUCAGCAGUUUAAAAGAACCAUGCUUUGAUCUAGUUCACGCACCAUAGCUAAACCCAGGUUUCUGUUGAUUUGCUUGUUUGUCUUAUGGGGCUUUUACUUCUUAACGAUCCUCAAAGCAGGGUCUAUCAUUACUGAGAUGACCACGGUUGAAUAGAAGUCUCUUGAAAUCCUGAAGUACAUGAUUAGAGAAACAACAGACUUGAAAUGGAAAACUAGUUAAAAUUAUCCCAAAAAAGCAAAAAGAAAAGUUAAUUCUCUUGUUUGGGAAAUGCCAUUCAGCUACCAUUGACUCCCAGGCUGUGUGUUUAACUGACAUCAUGUAGCUUUGUCAGCUCACAUUUUUGUUAAAAGCAGAUGGUGAAUAAACUACAUAGCAAAGGACCUUCCUUUGGUCUUUGUAAAUGAAUGUAUACAUACAAACUAUGCAUUUUCACACAGCUGCAUACUGUAUCUUCACUCAGUUCAACCUUUCCCCUAGCUUAGAAACCCCCAGACUUCAGGAGCUGAAGGUGCUCCCAUCUCCUUUUGCAUAUAUUUGUCUCCUGUCUUGUUUCUGCUCUCCAAAAACCUUAGAUGCAGGACAGUGGAAUGCUGAGCUGCACAGCCCAAGGAGCAGAGUGGCUGGGGACCUGUGGCCAAGGCAGGGAUCUGCCAUGCUCUGGGAGACCACUUUGGGCUCCCAGGCCCAGCAUGGCCAAAGGCAGAGCCGUGGUAUUUGUGCUCCCUGUGCCAGACCUGCUCCGGCCCCAGCACCUCUUGCACUCUGGCUCGGCAUCCUGGGCGCUGGGGCAGCCGAGCAGGACGAGCAGCUGCUCUCACACGGGGUCAGGAGCAGUCUGCAGCCACACUCGGUCCAGCUGAGCCAGGGAGAGGCCACUGCCCCUGGGCUUGCAGACACCAUCCUCCCCCUUGGGACAGCCUUUCCAGCCACCCCAGCAGCCCCAUUUCCUUCUGACCAUCACUUCCCCACAGUGCCCUGCAGCACUUGUGAGGCAGGGAUGGCUCCUCAGGGGUUGUGGUCUCGCUGCUGAGACCUGCUGCCCCAGGUAAUGCAGUGCUCAAAAUGCUCCGCCCUUCAUCCUAAUCACUGGUGGACUUCGGGGCUGGGAUGUGCAAGGGACGAAGGAUCAGAGCUUGGGUUUAGUGUACCUUCUGCUGGAAGGGAGCAGGAAAGAUGGCAAAUGGAUGUCUUGUUCUUGUAGCUGGUAUAAUUAUAUAAAGGAAAAAGAUACUGCAUGCAACAUUUCUUACUUAAAUUUUGGGUUGUUGCUAAAAUGUACAUCAGCCCAGUCUACUCAAUGAAUGAAGUGUGUUUCUUAUGCGUUAUCCUACAGGAAGAAAGACCAAAAAAGUAGAAGUAAUAAGAAUAUCCUUGCUUUAGAAUAAAGCAAGCAUGGACUCAACAACGAAGAAAGAUUUUGUUUAUAUGCAAACUGUUGAAAUAUUUGAUAACAGUAUGAAGGCAGUCAUAUUCUUAUGUAUCCAGAGAUUUGCACUCAUCUAGGUUAUGUUUAAUUGAAAAAAUAUUUUUGCAUUAUGUAUUUGUGUUUGAGGGGCUAAGUCUUUAAUUUUAUAUUCUUUACAAGAAUUAGUGUGGCAAUUGCGUUUUUCCAUUUACUGAGCUACCUGCCCAUGCUAGCUGUUCAUUUGCAUAAAGAAUAUUUCCACUACUUCAGAGGUUUUUGGAUUGUUGGAUUGUUGUUUUCAAAGGGAGCCUGCCCCAGAGGGUUCCACAGGGUUGUCCAGUGUGAGUGGGAGGCUCUCUGGAGCAGGGGGUCACCCUUACCAGGACGUGGCCUGGCACUGCAACAGACACACACGGAUUCAUUGCCCUGCAAUCUGCAACUGCCCGGUGGGCCUGGGGUAGCUCCAGCUGCAGUCCCUCAAAUCAAAGCUCUGACUGACUCUGUCAGUCCUUCGCUGUCACUUACUAUCACAAAGUUAACUUUUUACAACGAGAAAGAGCUUCCAACUCUGGCACUGAUGGAAAUACUGAAUACUUUUAAUAUAUAUAUAUAUAUAUAUAUUUGGAAAGUAUUUGAACAAAGUGUUUUGUCUUUUUUUAUACAACUUUUAGCCAAAUAGAAGAAUUCUGAUUAUUACUUCUGUGGAUACCUGUCCACCUGUAAAUAAACUCAUAUAUUCAGGUACAUGAACCUGAAGAGAAAAAAUAAUAAAGACUGUUCAGGGGCUAUGCGCUUUGCUAGCUCCUGGUUCCUUUGUACAUAAGAGGUAACUGUUUAAAUGUUGGGUGGGUUUUUUAAAUUUACUUGUUGUUCCUCUAAAGAAAGAAGAAGAAAAAAAACUUUUGACUUUGUUUUCUCUUUUCUGAGUUAAUACAAAGAUUUUCUAACUUUUUACUGCAGAAAUGGAUAAAUACCUGGUGCUAAGUGAACGUGAGUCAAACUGGCCAUAGCAGACACACCGGUUAGAAUGCACUUUUCCUGUGGCACACAAUGUAUUUUCUCAGAAGGGACUUUCAAAGGACUGUCAGAUGUUUACAUUUCUUCUUGUUGCCCCAAAUAGUUUUGAAUAUUCAAAUAACUUCCAAAAAUAAAGUCAUGGUCCAUUACUGAUGCGACAAAUCCUUACAUUUAAGUAUCUACAACAGCUUUGUACAAAUACCAUUUUAGAGAUAGUUGAAAUAUUGGGCUUUCAUACUUUGUAAUGCUUUGAUGUGACAAUAAAUAUGCUGUUGCUAUCUAGUCUAACCUCAUUGUAGACCUGUAACUCCCUGUUUCUGGUUAUGUUAUGAAUUGCACUGGCUUGAAUUCAGCCAAAUACUGACUGUUCAGCUGAAAUAUUCCGACUGUUAUGAUGUCCACGAAACAUUAAUUAAAUGCACUUGUAUCUGACUACCAUGGAGUAUGUCAAAUUAUUCAUGUAAUAAAUCCCUUGUGUAUAACUUU